UACAGAGGGGGGCAAGCGUUAUUCGGAAUUAUUGGGCGUAAAGGGCGCGUAGGCGGCUUGGCAAGUGGAUGGUGAAAUCCCCUCGGCUUAACCGAGGAACUGCCGUCCAAACUGCUUCGCUUGAGACCGGGAGAGGUGAGUGGAAUUCCCAGUGUAGCGGUGAAAUGCGUAGAUAUUGGGAGGAACACCAGUGGCGAAGGCGGCUCACUGGACCGGUACUGACGCUGAGGCGCGAAAGCGUGGGGAGCAAAUGG
This 254-nucleotide ribosomal RNA is filed under the name uncultured bacterium. RNAcentral's name for it is "partial 16S ribosomal RNA". It matches the Rfam family "Bacterial small subunit ribosomal RNA", at positions 524 to 775 of the family's 1533-position model. The record is from RNAcentral.